Long non-coding RNA from Xenopus laevis (African clawed frog), 1776 nucleotides. RefSeq lists it as uncharacterized. The record is from RefSeq and is a predicted model, not a curated record. Lineage: Eukaryota; Metazoa; Chordata; Amphibia; Anura; Pipidae. The transcript has 4 exons.
UUUCUGCGUCAGAUGGACAGUUACACUGGCUGCCUUUGGAUGCUCUACAGUUUGCAACUAUGGGAAGGAUCUGCAUCCAAUCUGUAGAUGAAUUGGGGAAAAGAAAUAUGCCAGUAAGAAGCAGAAGAAAAGAGAAGGAUAAAGCAGAAGGGAUAGAAUUGAGAUCAGAAGACAGAGGAAGACAUUUCCCUGGGACACUCUCAGGAUGAUCACGCAGCUCUAUAUUGCGGAAUAAUCGAAGCUCCCAAAGGCAUCGGCGAUCUCUUUUCUUAUUGCCAAGGAACCCUCGGAGGGAGGUGUUAGAAGUAGAUGUUCAUAACAGGGUCCAUCGUCGGAAAGUCCAACAUCCUCCGCAUCUCGAAGAUCACGAUGCCCAGAGACCACCAAUCUGCAGAUCUUGAAUACGGCAGCCUGGAGAGGACUUCGGGAGCCAUGUAGUCAUAGGUUCCAGUCAGGCUGCGUGUUCUGUCCCCAUAGCCAAUUCCUGCAAAAACAGUAACUGUAAGUAAACUGGAAACCAGUGGGGCUUAUUUAUCAGUAGCGGCUCAGACUCAAAGUACAAGAAAGGAACAGUUCAGUUUGUUUUCUUUUCAUCCUGAGCUGCAUGAUCAGCAAACAAACUGAACAGUUAGGUCCCAUGUGGCCCCCCUUUCUAACUGACUAACAGGUUAGAGAGAUGCAAAAAUAUAAGGUUUUUAUUACAUUAGACGUCUUUCUAUAGAUUACAUUCUAGGGUAACUCCGAUCUAUGUUCUCACUAAAUAUUAAGUGAUACAAAUCAAUUGCCUAACAAUUGGCACCCUCUAGUAAUUCACCUUUCCUUCUCCUUUAAUCUGAUCUGCUAAAGCAUAACUCUUUAGGUGAAUUUCACUCUUGCGUUCUCAUAAUAUGAAACUACAAAUGUCAGUCACUUAGUGAGUCUCAAAAACAUAACACGAAGCGCAACCCUUUUUUGACAUGUAAGUUUAUGAGAAACCUUACCGUCUUUGCAUAGUCCGAAAUCAGCCAGUUUGAUGUACCCGUUGCUGUCUAAGAGCAGGUUUUCCGGCUUGAGAUCUCUGUUAAUACAACGGCAAAUGUUAGAAAAGUACAAGUUCACUGGCACACAAAAGGGGAAAUAAUUAGUGAUUAUAUAGUGAAUAACAACCUUUUUUAAACUUUAAGUCACUGAGGAGAUUCUUGACCAUAUAAAGGCACAAGGCUGAAGUUGUCAUGCUCUUGUGGAGCAAGCUCUAUAGGGGACAUUAAUCGUGGCUUCUUAAAAGUUUAGCAGUAAUAUUCUCUUAUAUUUUAUAUUGCAAAUGUUUUCAUAUACUUAAAAAAAGUAUUGAUAUAUAUCUAUACUUACCGGUGUAUGAUACCAUUUUCGUGCAAAUAGGAGAUGGCCAGCACUGUGCACGCAGCAUAGAACCUGCAAAGAGAAAAUGACUCCCAUCAGUAGGUUAUUGAAUACAUAGCCAUUUAUUUGUUAGUGUAGCACAGGGUGGUGAUAUCUCAGUCUAAAUAUUACAGGCUCGCUGUGAUUUAAGAGACCCACUGACUAUAAUGGUAAGUUGUGUAUGCAGCUCCGAACUUAUUAAAAAUUUCUUAUGUAUUUCUAAAUAAAGCCUCUUGCAUUUGUGUAAUAUGGCUGCUUCCUUCGAUAAACAAGGAGCCAGAUCCAUAUGCUAUUUAUGGUUUUCAAACUUGUGUAGUUUUCCUCAGCACGUCCCUUGAGUUCCUUAUCCUGUGGGCUCACCCUCUCAGGUCACACAGUAAAGGCCAGAAAUUGAUCAAU